ACCCACUUCUCAUCUGUUUGAAGCAGGCGGUUUGAAGCUAUAUUAGCCACUCUUAGCACAGUGGUUCUCAAAUUUCUUUCAAUAACGUACCUCUUUAUUAAAUAUCUUCUUCAGCCCC
This is a long non-coding RNA of Etheostoma spectabile (orangethroat darter), 118 nucleotides long. RefSeq lists it as uncharacterized. NCBI's taxonomy places the organism in Eukaryota, Metazoa, Chordata, Actinopteri, Perciformes, Percidae. The record is from RefSeq and is a predicted model, not a curated record. The transcript has 3 exons.